This 253-nucleotide ribosomal RNA is filed under the name uncultured bacterium. RNAcentral describes it as "partial 16S ribosomal RNA". It matches the Rfam family "Bacterial small subunit ribosomal RNA", at positions 524 to 776 of the family's 1533-position model. The record is from RNAcentral.
UACGUAGGGUGCAAGCGUUGUCCGGAAUUAUUGGGCGUAAAGAGCUCGUAGGCGGUCUGUCGCGUCGGCUGUGAAAACCCGGGGCUCAACCCCGGGCCUGCAGUCGAUACGGGCAGACUAGAGUGCGGUAGGGGAGACUGGAACUCCUGGUGUAGCGGUGAAAUGCGCAGAUAUCAGGAGGAACACCGGUGGCGAAGGCGGGUCUCUGGGCCGUAACUGACGCUGAGGAGCGAAAGCCAGGGGAGCAAACGGG